CUACUUGUGGCCAGCGGCUAGAGAAGGUCAUUGGAACUGAGCACACAGACAUUAUUCGUGUUCCAUUCAGAAAUGAGAAUGGUAUUCUCCGCAAGUGGAUCUCUCGUUUUGAUGUCUGGCCAUACCUGGAGACAUACACUGAGGUAUACAGACUAAUUUUCUUACUGGAUGUCGUACACAACCUAGAUUUUUCUGUUAAUACUGAAGUCAUGCAUUCUGUGCUACAGGAUGUUGCCAGUGAAAUCAUGAAAGAAAUGCAGGCCAAGCCUGACCUUAUUAUUGGCAACUACAGUGAUGGCAACCUAGUUGCCACUCUGCUUGCGCACAAGCUGGGAGUUACUCAGGUCUGUUUGAUUGUACAUGAAGUAUCUUGAAAAUUCUUAAGUUUGCCCAGUGCUUAAGGUUUCGUUUUGUGCAUUCUUGCAGUGUACCAUUGCCCAUGCCUUGGAGAAAACCAAAUAUCCAAACUCAGACAUAUACUUGGACAAAUUCGACAGUCAGUAUCACUUCUCAUGCCAGUUCACAGCUGACCUUAUUGCUAUGAAUCACACCGAUUUCAUCAUCACCAGUACAUUCCAAGAAAUUGCGGGAAGGUAAUUUUUGUGUAUUUUAAUAACAGUUGGCCAUCACUAGGUAGCAGUAACUAAAUGAGCAUCUGAUGUGUGGUGUUGUUUUCGCAGCAAGGACACUGUUGGGCAAUAUGAGUCCCACAUUGCAUUUACCCUCCCUGGGCUCUACCGUGUUGUCCAUGGCAUUGAUGUUUUUGAUCCCAAGUUCAACAUCGUCUCUCCGGGAGCAGACAUGAGUGUUUACUACCCAUACACUGAAACUGACAAGAGACUCACUGCCUUCCACCCUGAGAUUGAGGAGCUCAUUUACAGCGAUGUUGAGAACUCUGAGCACAAGUGAGUACUGAACUUACUGAACUUACAGCCUAGGUCUUUCUACCUAUGAAGAUAUGCAGAGCAAUUUCCAUUUACAAUAAUUAACACCUGACAUUUGAGUGCACCUUUCAUUGCUUUGCAGGUUUGUCUUGAAGGACAAGAACAAGCCGAUCAUUUUCUCAAUGGCUCGUCUUGACCGUGUGAAGAACAUGACAGGCUUGGUUGAGAUGUAUGGUAAGAAUGCACGCCUGAGGGAAUUGGCAAACCUUGUGAUUGUUGCUGGUGACCAUGGCAAGGAGUCUAAGGACAGGGAGGAGCAGGCAGAGUUCAAGAGGAUGUACAGUCUCAUUGAUCAGUACAACUUGAAGGGCCAUAUCCGGUGGAUCUCAGCUCAGAUGAACCGUGUCCGCAAUGCGGAGUUGUACCGCUACAUUUGUGACACGAAGGGAGCAUUUGUUCAGGUAUGUAUACACACUUGAUCUAAUAAGUUACUUCCAAGUUCCUAUAAUGGUGCUCACUACUUUCAGAUAACAACAGCCAUAGAAUGUGUGCAGGACUGAAUUCAUGUAUCACUUUGUUUUUGUAGCCUGCAUUCUAUGAAGCGUUUGGCUUGACUGUUAUUGAGUCCAUGACAUGUGGUUUGCCAACAAUUGCUACCUGCCAUGGUGGCCCUGCUGAAAUCAUUGUGGACGGGGUGUCUGGUUUGCACAUUGAUCCUUACCACAGUGACAAGGCUGCAGAUAUCUUGGUCAACUUCUUUGACAAGUGCAAGGCGGAUCCAAGCUACUGGGACAAGAUUUCACAGGGAGGCCUGCAGAGAAUUUACGAGAAGUAUGUACUUUUUCUAUCCUGCUGUCUACAAUAAAGAUAUAAAUUGACAUGAACUGAAGAAAUUCAGAUAUUAUAGAGUAACAUGUGCUUGUUCAAUGAUGCCACAACAUAAAAAACUUUCCAUGAUGUAUUAGAUAUUUUUGUGUGGCUCUUCUCUAGCCGUGUAAGUCCAGAUACUAAAAGUUUUGGAUUGCUCAGGUACACCUGGAAGCUGU
This 1930-nucleotide long non-coding RNA is filed under the name Setaria viridis. RNAcentral's name for it is "long non-coding RNA (SVIR_LNC003872)". Lineage: Eukaryota; Viridiplantae; Streptophyta; Magnoliopsida; Poales; Poaceae. The record is from RNAcentral.